RNAcentral lists this ribosomal RNA (253 nucleotides) under uncultured bacterium. RNAcentral describes it as "partial 16S ribosomal RNA". It matches the Rfam family "Bacterial small subunit ribosomal RNA", at positions 524 to 776 of the family's 1533-position model. The record is from RNAcentral.
UACAGAGGUCCCAAGCGUUGUUCGGAAUUACUGGGCGUAAAGGGCCAGUAGGCGGCCAACUAAGUCCGACGUGAAAUCCCAAGGCUUAACCUUGGAACUGCGUCGGAUACUGGAUGGCUUGAAUUCGGGAGAGGGAUGCAGAAUUCCAGGUGUAGCGGUGAAAUGCGUAGAUAUCUGGAGGAAUACCGGUGGCGAAGGCGGCAUCCUGGACCGAGAUUGACGCUGAAUGGCGAAAGCUAGGGGAGCAAACGGG